GACAGUUUGGCCGAGCGGUCUAAGGCGCCAGCUUCAGGCGCUGGUCCGAAAGGGCGCGAGUUCGAAUCUCGCAGUUGUUA
Molecule: transfer RNA, 80 nt
Filed under: Perkinsus marinus ATCC 50983
Lineage: Eukaryota; Perkinsozoa; Perkinsida; Perkinsidae
Rfam family: tRNA
About the family: Transfer RNA (tRNA) molecules are approximately 80 nucleotides in length. Their secondary structure includes four short double-helical elements and three loops (D, anti-codon, and T loops).
Source: Rfam by way of RNAcentral